GAUGAACGCUAGCGGCGUGCCUAACACAUGCAAGUCGAGCGGUAAGUGUUCUUGCUAACAGCUCGAACGUUACACGGGGGCGGAACAGUUACGCAAGCUUCCUCUAUCUGUGAGACAGGGUUUACAAAGGAAGAUUAAUGCUCAUAAAGAUAAAUAUUGUCAUCAGUUGAGAUUAAUAAUUACGGUGGGUAUUGCUGUCCACUCUAGAUGGUUCCGCGCUGCUUUAGCAAGUGGGUAAGGUAACGGCUAACCAAGGCGACGAUGCGUCGGUGACCUGAGAGGGGGAUCGGCCACACGGGAACUGAGACACGGUCCAGACUCCUCCGGGAGGCAGCAGUAGGGAAUCUUCCGCAAUGGGCGGAAGCCUGACGGAGCAACGCCGCGUGGGUGAUGAAGGUCUUCGGAUCUUAAAACUCUGUUAUUAGGGAAGAACAAAUGUGUAAGUAACGAUGCACGUCGUGACGGUACCUAAUCAGAAAGCCACGGCUAACUACGUG
Molecule: ribosomal RNA, 497 nt
Filed under: uncultured bacterium
Lineage: Bacteria
Description: partial 16S ribosomal RNA
Rfam family: Bacterial small subunit ribosomal RNA
Source: RNAcentral